AUUUUUUAUGCAAAAAAGCCUUCUAUUAAGGAAAAGUAUUUUUAAUUUCUGAAUUUUUUUAUCCAAACAAUAAAAAUCAUAAAAAAGAGUGCUUUUUAUCAUAGUUAGUUAAUUCGGAUUCGGCAAAAAUUCGUUACGAAUAUAAUACGCAUAAAAUUUAUUUUCUAAUUUUUAAAUUUAUUGAAAAAUUCGGCUUAAAAAACGGAUUCGGUAUAAAAUAUAAAAUAUAAGAUAAUUUAUAUUUAAAAAUAAAAAUUAUAAGUUUUUUAUUCAUAUUUUCAAUAAUUCGUGAAUAAUUCGGUUGGCUAAAAAAUUCGCUACUAAUUCUCUUUUUUUGAAAAAAAUUCGUAAACGGACUGUUUAAUUCGAAUUUUCAAUAAUUCGCGAAUAAUUCGCGAAAAAUUCACAAAUUAACUAACUAGGCUUUUUAUAGAUUUUUUUUUUUU
This 446-nucleotide long non-coding RNA is filed under the name Ananas comosus (pineapple). Its description in RNAcentral is "long non-coding RNA (ACOM_LNC030971)". The record is from RNAcentral. Lineage: Eukaryota; Viridiplantae; Streptophyta; Magnoliopsida; Poales; Bromeliaceae.